CCUGGACAAGUCCCCAGGAAGUUUCAGAUGUUUAGGGGCCAAUGUAGCAGUCGUGGUAUCAGCUCCCUGGGUCUGUGGGGCUGCAGAGGAACCGGAUAAAAAUCAGCAAAAUGCCAACUUCAGCCACUGCAGAGCAGGACUCGGGCUGUGAGAAGUUGGGCGUGACCUCUGAAUGACACUGCUUUGACUCUGGCCUGCAGGACAGAUGACAGUGUGAGCACACUGGCUGGAAAGGACAGAGACAGCAGAACCCUCAAAGGACCCUCUAUGGGAUGCCGUCUAUGGUUCUUCUGUCCAGCAGGGCAAACUCAGAGGGUGUGUCCCUGGCCCUGGCCCUAGAGGCAUGGCUAAGAAAGUUCUGGAACCAGAUGCCUGGGCUGGAGUCCUGCUGCUGCAUUCAACAGCUCUGUCACCUGGACAGUAAAGUCACUUGACUUAGGCUCCACUAUGGCCUAAGUCACACUGUCAGUGGCCUAGAUGAUUGCAAUCACCAUUUUUUUUGGUGGGGGAGGGGUACCAAGGGUUGAACUCAGGGGCACUUUACCGCAAAGCUAUAUCCCCAGUCCUUUAAAAAAAAAUGGGGACAGGGUCUUGCUGAGUUGCUGAGGCUGGCCUCAAACAUAUGAGCCUUUUGCCUCAGCCUCCCAGUCACUGAAUUACCCUCACACACUACCCACCCAGCUACAGUUAGUCACCUCUUAACUGGUCUCUCGCCCUUCAGUCUUGCUUCCUCGUCUCCAUUCACUCCAAACAGCCAGAGUGAGGUUAGAUCUUGUCAUUUCCCCAUUUAAAACCCUCCAAAGACCACCCACUGCCAUAACAAGGAAGUCCCCAGUUUCCCAGUCACAGUGUAAGAGGUCUUGUCACCCAAUCCUGCUGAUCUCUCCAUCUUUGCUGCUUUACACCCAGCUAGGACUGACUGCAGCCAGGGGAAUUUCAUUCAGUUCCUCACUCGGUGCUGCCAUCCUUCACCUCCCUCCCCGUCAGCCCCACUUCCUC
Molecule: long non-coding RNA, 999 nt
Filed under: Marmota monax (woodchuck)
Lineage: Eukaryota; Metazoa; Chordata; Mammalia; Rodentia; Sciuridae
Source: RNAcentral